Molecule: ribosomal RNA, 274 nt
Filed under: uncultured bacterium
Lineage: Bacteria
Description: partial 16S ribosomal RNA
Rfam family: Bacterial small subunit ribosomal RNA
Source: RNAcentral
AUACGGAGGGUGCGAGCGUUAAUCGGAAUUACUGGGCGUAAAGCGCGCGUAGGCGGUUCGAUAAGUCUGAUGUGAAAGCCCUGGGCUUAACCUGGGAAUGGCAUUGGAUACUGUUGAACUAGAGUGCGGGAGAGGAGAGUGGAAUUCUCGGUGUAGCGGUGAAAUGCGUAGAUAUCGGGAGGAACACCAGUGGCGAAGGCGGCUCUCUGGACUGACACUGACGCUGAGGUGCGAAAGCGCGGGUAGCAAACAGGAUUAGAAACCCGGGUAGUCC